Ictidomys tridecemlineatus (thirteen-lined ground squirrel) is the source of this 4584-nucleotide long non-coding RNA. RefSeq lists it as uncharacterized. Lineage: Eukaryota; Metazoa; Chordata; Mammalia; Rodentia; Sciuridae. The record is from RefSeq and is a predicted model, not a curated record.
GCGCUCCUCGCUCCGGUCCGCAGCCCCUCCGCACCUCCCGGGUGAGGCUCCCAGAGAAAGGAGAACACUGCAAAUCUCACCCAUAUCCAGAUCAAUAGUAUGAUUUCUUAGGAAUCAAGAAUCAACACUGGGUUAUUUCCAACUGUUAACCUUGAGAGCCCACUUGGACACUGCAGCAAGAAAGGAUAACCAUCCACACACUUGGACAUGAAAAAUGAUCUUUGAUCAGGGAGUUCUCUCUCUUCGGCUCAACCACCAGAAAUAGAAGGAACACCAUUCUGACCAAACUCAUCCAGAUGAAUCAAGUCAACCCUUUUUAGCAAGGAGUGGAGCUGCAGAAGGGUGGCCAGGUCACUGUCUUCUGCUCGCACCAUCAUUGAGCAGCCUUCUCCAGAACUGCUACCUAGAGUGGUCCUCCCUCUCACUGGUCAUUGUGUAUUGGGGUGUUACUGUGUCUUCCCAGACAAUGUGGCUCUUUUCCUAAUUUGCACCAAGGCAUCUAUAUGGGCUAGUGCCAGCUCUGGCUAUUCUGUUCCUAACCUGAGUCCUAUCCAGGAUUAUAUUCCUUACUUUGAAUGAAUAAGUAAUUCUCAAGUACAAAUUAGGUUUAUUGUGAAAGAUGAGAUAUAUGAUUUAAAUUGAAAAUGAAUUUCAUAAGUAAAGCUCAAAAUAUGCAAGUGAAUUUUGUAUAUAUGUGUCUAUGUAUAUAUAUUUGGACAUAUAUUUCUAUCAUCAGAAGGUAGGACAACUUUGAAAAAAGAAGUUAGGGCCAACUUAAAUUGCUAAAUGUUUAAAAGAAAACUAUUUGGGGUUUUGGAGUCAGUUUAAUAUAUGGAUUUCUGGCCUUCACAGAAAUAUGUAUUAUUUAAUUCCAUUUCAACAGUCCCCUAUGCUAAGCAGUAUGUAUACAGUUAUGGAAAAUGAUACAAACACUCAGCCUCCAGGUAGUUAAUCAUCUAGUAAGGAAGACAAAUGAUAAGGUCACAAAUAAAUUUAUAGCUGUAAAUUAUAAUAAGUGCUUUGAAAGAAAUGCCAAGAUGAAGGAUAACAAAUCACAUCCAUCCCAAGAUUAAGUGACUUUAAAGAGCCUCUCUGGGGAAAAGACAUUUCAACUGAACCCCAAGGGUGCGUCAGAGUUUAUGAAGUGACUUCACCUUGCCAUUUAAAGUAGAGAAGCAUUUGAACUGAGAACAGAAUUUGGCACAUUUAAGAGAACAAAAGUGCAGAAUAAAAUAGAUAACUAAAAAAAAGAGGCCAGAGACCAAAAUUCACAGUAUCGCCACUAAGGAAGUUUGGGAGACCUUGCUACUGCUGUGUGAUUCCACAGAGGAAGGUCGGCUGACAGAGGCGAAGAAUAAAUCCACAUCUUUUAAAAAUUGAAGAUUGGUUAUAGUUCAAGUGCACUGACACAGUGGUUGGAGCUACUGGUUAAUAUGUCUUUCUGAAGUUGGCAUUUCUGUGUGCCAGACACUGCUCUGGGGACACAGCAAAGAGCAAACUUCUCCUGGAGCUUGUUCUCAUGGGGGAAAUAGAGAACAAAUAGCUGUGGACCAUACAUGGCAUUCAAUGCAUGGAGCAAAGGAAUCAUGAGGAAGAGGGUGCAGCAGUUGAGAGAAAUAGUUAUUUCCCAGACACAGGAAAGGUGUCUACUGAGUGAGUGAUUGGUCAUACACGAAGCAGCAAGCCAUGAGGAUGCAGGUAUCUGCAAGGCACAGGGAAUGGCAAGUUAAAGCCAUGAACACACCAGCACUCUUGUUGUGUUCAAGAGUUAUCAAAGAGGCCUAUGUGACUGAGGGGAACAGGUGACAGAAAAUGACAAGAAGGAGGGCAGAGAAGUAACCAGGGCUCAGAUCUUGUGAGCAGUUAUGGACUUAAACUCUUAUUGAAUAAGUAGGUCAGGGAUCUUAUCAGAAAUAAACUCUUAACUAUUUUCACAAAGUGAAUAAAAUGUAAGGUAUUGGUUAAAUGGAUGUCCAAGAAUUACAAGAGCUAAAAGGGAACACUAAAGAGGAAUUCCUGAGGCUGCUGCAUUUCCAGGCUUUGGCAGCUGGGGGAGAGUUAGUGUUGACAGGACCCAGAAACUUGCACCAGCUCUGGAGAUGUGGUUGCUGCCCAUUGGUGCUGAUCCCCUGAGAUGGUGAAAAGAAGUCCAUCAUAGGAGGGCCUGCUAGCCUUUUAAUUAAUUAAUUAAUUAAAUUUUUAAAUGUAGGUAUUUUCUCCUUUGUUCUGCCUUGGCCACUUCCCACCAAUUUGAAAUGUUUUGCCUGUUUAUUUUCAUUCAGUUCAAAAUACUUUCUAGCAGUCCCCACCCCCAAGUUCUUUGACCCAGAGGUUAUUGAGAAGUGGGCUUUCUAGAUGUUUGGGGAUCUUCUGUUGUUAAUUCUAACUCAGUUCCAUUGCAGGCAGAGAGUACACUCCAUAUGCAUUGAAUUUUUAAAUUUUGAGACCUUUUUAUGGGCAGGAAAAUUGUCUGUCUUGGCAAGCAUUUUAUGAACAAAAGAAUGUUUUGCUGUUGUGGAGUGGAGGGUACUGAAGGGUCAGGUCACUUUGGUAGAUAAUGUGGUCCAAGUUGUCCCUUAGAUUGACUUUCCAUCUGUUCAUUCUAUCAGUUAUUGCAGAAAGGAUACUAAUAUAUGGCGGAUUUUCUGUUUCUUGCAGAUCUGCCCAUUUUUGCUUAGUAUAUUUUGACGCUUUGCUUUUAGGUGCAUGAAUGUUUAGGGUUGUUAUGUCUUUGUGACAACUAGACCCUUUUGCCAUUAUGAAAUCUUUCUCUAUCCCUAGCAGUAUGUUUUGUUCUGAACUCCUCUGCCUGCUACUCAUUUAACCAAUCCCACUUGUCUUUUGAUUAACUUGGUGUAUCUUUUCCCAUCCUUUUACUUUUAUCCUGUUUCUGUCUGUAUAUUUAAAGUAUAUUUAUUAUAGGCAUCAUAUGGUUGGGUUUCACUUGUUUUUGUCAAAGUAACAUGCUAUGACUUUUAGUUGAGAUGUGUAUACCCUUUACAUUUGAUGUGAUUAUUGAGGUGGUUUAAAAUCACCUAACUAUUUGUUUUCUGUUUUGUCUUAUCUAUUCUUUGUUCACGUCUCUUUUCUCUACUUUUUGAUUAAUUAAAUAUUUCUAUUAUUCCAUUAUAUUAUUGGCUUAUUAGCUCUUAUUUCAAGAGGUCAACAUUAUAUUGUAUUAUAGUUAAUAUCAUAUCACUUUAUUAUAAGAACUUUAAAGCAGUGUACAGUUGUCCUUUGGUAUCUAUGGGAGCUUGGUUCCAAGACCACCUGCAAUCAUACAAAAUGCUUAUUGAAAUUGGCAUACUAUUUGCAUGUAAUCUAUGCACCUCCUCCCCUGUAUUUUAAACGACUUCUAGAUUACUACCCCACCCUGUGUUAUACUUUUUCUCCUUCUCUUCUAGAUUACUUAUAAUAGCUAUAACAAUGUAAAUGCUAUGUAACUAGUUGUUAUUUUGUUUAGGGAAUAAUGAGAAGGGACAAAUAUCUGUACAUGUUUAGAGCAGAUGCAGUCCUUUUUUCUAAUAUUACUGAUCUGCCAUUGAUCUGCAUCAUCCACAGAUUUAGAUUUCCUCUAUGUCUAGAACAUGCAGAAGAAUGCUCUUGUGUGAUACUGGGCAGAAGUGACCUACAGCUCCCAAUCACCCAAGUGAUCACAAGGGGAAGGAACUGACUCUCUAUAUGUACUGUGUUGCUAAACUAUGAUGUUCAGUAGGUUAGAUGCAUUAAGAGAAUUUUUGAUUUAUGAUAUUUCUAACUUAUAGUGGAUUUAUUAUGAUAUAAAUUGAGGAACAUCUAUACUUUAAAUAUUUUUGAGAUAGCUCCACUGUCUCCUUAAUUACAUUUCCAGGGGGAAAUUACUCUUAUUUUGUUCCUCUGUAUAUAAUUCCUUUAUACUCUGGUUGCUUUUCAUAUUUUUUCUUUAUCAAUUGGUUUCAGGUUCUCUCUGUAUGCUAUUUUAGAUUUUUUUUAUGACUCCCAGGUUAAUUAUAAACUACUGUUUAUCCCAUCCAGGUUUUAUUUCUUAUUUUUUUAUUCCCUUUCAGGUAUUGAAUUUUUAUCUCAAAAAGUUUGGGUCUCUUUAACUCCUUGAAGUCAGCCCUUUACCAGAUUAGUCUUUCCUCUGCAUUCUUGAACAUUCUUGGACAUAUGGAGUGCAUGGUUUUAAUAACUAUUUCAAUGUUGUCGUGAACUCAUUCUUUUUGAUUUUUUUCCUCCUAACUGUGGUUCAUAUUUUCCUGCUUCUUUGCAUGUCUGCUAUUUUUUUUUGUGUUGAGAUUCUGUUAUGGACCAAAUGUGAAGCCACAAAAUUCAUAUAUUGAAACCCUAGCCCCUGAUGUGAUGGGGGUGUCACGAGGUAGGACUUUUAGGAGGUCAUCAGGUCAUGGAGCUGGAGCCUUUAUGAAAUGAUUCCCCUGAGAGCUCUCUCACGCUUCUUGUGCCACGUGAGGAUCCAGGAAGAGGUGGACUACCUGCAUUCUGUCAGAGGACCCUCCUCAGGACCCGACCAUGCUGGCACCCUGACCUAGGACUCUCUAGCUUCCAGAACUGUGAGAAAUAAAUGUUCAUUGUUUAAGUCUUAAA